RNAcentral lists this ribosomal RNA (650 nucleotides) under Bacillus sp. YIM DKMY117-2. Its description in RNAcentral is "bacterial SSU rRNA". It matches the Rfam family "Bacterial small subunit ribosomal RNA", at positions 32 to 663 of the family's 1533-position model. Lineage: Bacteria; Bacillati; Bacillota; Bacilli; Caryophanales; Bacillaceae. The record is from RNAcentral.
AACGCUGGCGGCGUGCCUAAUACAUGCAAGUCGAGCGGACCUUUUAAAAGCUUGCUUUUGAAAGGUCAGCGGCGGACGGGUGAGUAACACGUGGGCAACCUGCCUGUAAGACUGGGAUAACUUCGGGAAACCGGAGCUAAUACCGGAUAAUAUAAGGAACCUCCUGGUUCUUUAUUGAAAGAUGGUUUCGGCUAUCACUUACAGAUGGGCCCGCGGCGCAUUAGCUAGUUGGUGAGGUAACGGCUCACCAAGGCNACGAUGCGUAGCCGACCUGAGAGGGUGAUCGGCCACACUGGGACUGAGACACGGCCCAGACUCCUACGGGAGGCAGCAGUAGGGAAUCUUCCACAAUGGACGAAAGUCUGAUGGAGCAACGCCGCGUGAGCGAUGAAGGCCUUCGGGUCGUAAAGCUCUGUUGUUAGGGAAGAACAAGUGCGAGAGUAACUGCUCGCACCUUGACGGUACCUAACCAGAAAGCCACGGCUAACUACGUGCCAGCAGCCGCGGUAAUACGUAGGUGGCAAGCGUUGUCCGGAAUUAUUGGGCGUAAAGCGCGCGCAGGUGGUCCUUUAAGUCUGAUGUGAAAGCCCACGGCUCAACCGUGGAGGGUCAUUGGAAACUGGGGGACUUGAGUGCAGAAGAGGAAAGUG